Molecule: non-coding RNA, 107 nt
Organism: Arabidopsis suecica
Lineage: Eukaryota; Viridiplantae; Streptophyta; Magnoliopsida; Brassicales; Brassicaceae
Source: the annotation of a GenBank genome assembly
AAACCGUGAUGGGGGCACCUAAUGGUGUAGCUUUUAAACCUCUCCCACGCUUCACAGAAUGUUUUAUUGUUUUUAUGGGUGAAGUCCGAGAUCUCGUUCCUCAAUCU